Molecule: ribosomal RNA, 1487 nt
Filed under: uncultured Bordetella sp.
Lineage: Bacteria; Pseudomonadati; Pseudomonadota; Betaproteobacteria; Burkholderiales; Alcaligenaceae
Description: partial 16S-23S ribosomal RNA intergenic spacer
Rfam family: Bacterial small subunit ribosomal RNA
Source: RNAcentral
AGUUUGAUUAUGGCUCAGAUUGAACGCUGGCGGGAUGCUUUACACAUGCAAGUCGAACGGCAGCACGGACUUCGGUCUGGUGGCGAGUGGCGAACGGGUGAGUAAUGUAUCGGAACGUGCCUAGUAGCGGGGGAUAACUACGCGAAAGGGGUAGAAGCACACCGCAUAUUCUUCGGGGGAAAGCGGGGACCUUCGGGCCUCGCACUAUUAGGAGCGGCCGAUAUCGGAUUAGCUAGUUGGUGGGGCAACGGCUCACCAAGGCGUGCGACGAUCCGUAGCUGGUUUGAGAGGACGACCAGCCACACUGGGACUGAGACACGGCCCAGACUCCUACGGAGGCAGCAGUGGGGAAUUCUGAAUGGGGGAAACCCUGAUCCAGCCAUCCCGCGUGUGCGAUGAAGGCCUUCGGGUUGUAAAGCACUUUGGCAGGAGGUAAAAGAAACGGCACGGGAUAAUACCCCGUGCAACUGACGGUACCUGCAGAAUAAGCACUGGCUAACUACGUGCCAGCAGCCGCGGUAAUACGUAGGUGCAAGCGUUAAUCGGAAUUACUGGGCGCAAAGCGUGCGCAGGCGGUUCGGAAAAGAAAGAUGUGAAAUCUCAGAGCUUAACUUUGGAACUGCAUUUUUAACUACCGAGCUAGAGUGUACGAGGGAGGUGGAAUUAUGUAGCAGUGAAAUGCGUAGAUAUGCGGAGGAACACCGAUGGCGAAGGCAGCCUCCUGGGAUAACACUGACGCUCAUGCACGAAAGCGUGGGAGCAAACAGGAUUAGAUACCCUGGUAGUCCACGCCCUAAACGAUGUCAACUAGCUGUUGGGGCCUUCGGGCCUUGGUAGCGCAGCUAACGCGUGAAGUUGACCGCCUGGGGAGUACGGUCGCAAGAUUAAAACUCAAAGGAAUUGACGGGACCCGCACAAGCGGUGUGGAUGAUGUGGAUUAAUUCGAUGCAACGCGAAAACCUUACCUACCCUUGACAUGUCUGGAAUCCCGAAGAGAUUUGGGAGUGCUCGCAAGAGAACUGGAACAUGGGUGUUGCAUGGCUGUCGUCAGCUCGUGUCGUGAGAUGUUGGGUUAAGUCCUGCAACGAGCGCAACCCUUUGUCAUUAGUUGCCACGAAAGGGCACUCUCCACGAGACUGCCGGUGACAAACCGAGGAAGGUGGGGAUGACGUCAAGUCCUCAUGGCCCUUAUGGGUAGGGCUUCACACGUCAUACAAUGGUCGGGACAGAGGGUCGCCAACCCGCGAGGGGGAGCCAAUCCCCAGAAACCCGAUCGUAGUCCGGAUCGCAGUCUGCAACUCGACUGCGUGAAGUCGGAAUCGCUAGUAAUCGCGGAUCAGCAUGUCGCGGUGAAUACGUUCCUCGGUCUUGUACACACCGCCCGUCACACCAUGGGAGUGGGUUUUACCAGAAGUAGUUAGCCUAACCGUAAGGAGGGCGAUUACCACGGUAGGAUUCAUGACUGGGGUGAAGUCGUAACAAGGUAG